GAGCACUAAAGAAGCAGCAUUCUUUACAGGUGUAUCCAGAUUGAAAUACAACAACAUGCCAAACUACAAAUUAUUGUUCGUGAUACUAUGCAUUGCACUGAUUGUGCCUAGUCAAAGUAAUGCCCAAUCUCGAUUCGGAAAAAAGGUUGUUGACAAACG
This is a long non-coding RNA of Saccoglossus kowalevskii, 159 nucleotides long. Lineage: Eukaryota; Metazoa; Hemichordata; Enteropneusta; Harrimaniidae. The record is from RefSeq and is a predicted model, not a curated record.